RNAcentral lists this ribosomal RNA (450 nucleotides) under uncultured bacterium. RNAcentral's name for it is "partial 16S ribosomal RNA". It matches the Rfam family "Bacterial small subunit ribosomal RNA", at positions 354 to 796 of the family's 1533-position model. The record is from RNAcentral.
GUGGGGAAUAUUGGACAAUGGGCGCAAGCCUGAUCCAGCAAUGCCGCGUGGGUGAAGAAGGCCUUCGGGUUGUAAACUGCUUUUGUACGGAACGAAACGGUCCGGGUUAAUACCCUGGGCUAAUGACGGUACCGUAAGAAUAAGCACCGGCUAACUACGUGCCAGCAGCCGCGGUAAUACGUAGGGUGCAAGCGUUAAUCGGAAUUACUGGGCGUAAAGCGUGCGCAGGCGGUUUUGUAAGACAGGCGUGAAAUCCCCGGGCUCAACCUGGGAAUUGCGCUUGUGACUGCAAGGCUGGAGUGCGGCAGAGGGGGAUGGAAUUCCGCGUGUAGCAGUGAAAUGCGUAGAUAUGCGGAGGAACACCGAUGGCGAAGGCAAUCCCCUGGGCCUGCACUGACGCUCAUGCACGAAAGCGUGGGGAGCAAACAGGAUUAGAAACCCCGGUAGUCC